AUUGAACGCUGGCGGAAUGCUUUACACAUGCAAGUCGAACGGCAGCACGGGGGCAGCCCUGGUGGCGAGUGGCGAACGGGUGAGUAAUACAUCGGAACGUGCCCGGUCGUGGGGGAUAACGUAGCGAAAGUUACGCUAAUACCGCAUACGAUCUGAGGAUGAAAGCGGGGGAGCUUCGGGCUUCGCGCGAUCGGAGCGGCCGAUGUCAGAUUAGGUAGUUGGUGGGGUAAAGGCCUACCAAGCCGACGAUCUGUAGCUGGUCUGAGAGGACGACCAGCCACACUGGGACUGAGACACGGCCCAGACUCCUACGGGAGGCAGCAGUGGGGAAUUUUGGACAAUGGGCGCAAGCCUGAUCCAGCCAUUCCGCGUGCAGGACGAAGGCCUUCGGGUUGUAAACUGCUUUUGUACGGAACGAAAAGGCUCUGGCUAAUACCUGGGGCUCAUGACGGUACCGUAAGAAUAAGCACCGGCUAACUACGUG
RNAcentral lists this ribosomal RNA (484 nucleotides) under uncultured bacterium. RNAcentral describes it as "partial 16S ribosomal RNA". It matches the Rfam family "Bacterial small subunit ribosomal RNA", at positions 30 to 507 of the family's 1533-position model. The record is from RNAcentral.